ACCCUCCAGUUCCUUUUCCCAUCAGAUCUGAACACUGAUCUCAGUGGUUGUAACAGGAGGAAAAGUAAUACUGAAGCUGGCCUGUGGUGUUGCAGUCUGGUAUAUAGCAUGAGGCCUUGUUUCAAACAGGU
RNAcentral lists this small nucleolar RNA (131 nucleotides) under Propithecus coquereli (Coquerel's sifaka). RNAcentral's name for it is "Small nucleolar RNA SNORA61 (ENSPCOG00000001604.1)". It matches the Rfam family "Small nucleolar RNA SNORA61". From Rfam's summary of the family: ACA61 is a member of the H/ACA class of snoRNA that guide the sites of modification of uridines to pseudouridines. Lineage: Eukaryota; Metazoa; Chordata; Mammalia; Primates; Indriidae. The record is from Rfam by way of RNAcentral.